GUGCUCCUUUCAGCAGCACAUAUACUAAAAUUGUACAGAAAGGAUUAGCAUGAGCCUUGUGCAGGCAUGACAUGAAUUUGUGGAGCACUCCAUAUUUUA
Small nuclear RNA from Bison bison bison, 99 nucleotides. NCBI's taxonomy places the organism in Eukaryota, Metazoa, Chordata, Mammalia, Artiodactyla, Bovidae. The record is from Ensembl.